AUACUGAGGCCAAGCAGGGACACCUGUGAAGCAGCCUGGCUAAGAGAGGUAGCUGAGGCUCUGGGAGCUUUGGGCUGGGCCUGCCCAGAUCUAGGGGUUGCCUACAGCAAACCAUGGUUGAGGGAGAAGAACGAGACUGGAAGUCCUAGCAACCUCUGGAGGAGAAGCAGGAGCCCACGCAGGGAUAUACUUCUGGCUACGGCAUUCCUGACAGCACGGUCUGGCCCUACCAGCUGCUGCAAACUAACAGCUCAGCCGUCGCUGAGGAAUACUGGCUGUUUCCAUACCUCUGCACAGCACCUGCAGCAGCGUUCAGCGCCUCCACCCCCUCACCUGCCCUCCCGAGAAGCAAGGCUAUGCUUGUUAGCUGUGCUAUGGCCCCAAGCUCCUCCUGCCUUCAUAAAUCCUGCAUGUUUUCAGGGACCCAGGACAGAGAUGUUGAGGAGGAAGUUGCAAGCACACCCACAGAUAACAGAGCUUGAAAGAAUUCCAGGAAUUGCAAUUAGGUCCCUGCUGUCCUCUAAGAGGAUGAAUGUUUGCCUGAGGGGCCUGCCCUGGAAGCAGGUGGCAGUCCUGCUGAGAAAGGUUUCAGUGAAAGCUCCCGGCAUGUGGAGGCAGGCUCUCGAGGGAAGCAGCUCCUUUUUUCCAAGGAAAGCUCAUUUAGGAUAUGGACUACGUCAUCCUGCAAGAGGAAUUCAAGGAGUGGCCACCUGA
This 714-nucleotide long non-coding RNA is filed under the name Anas platyrhynchos platyrhynchos (common mallard). Its description in RNAcentral is "lncRNA (ENSAPLG00000022058.1)". The record is from RNAcentral. Lineage: Eukaryota; Metazoa; Chordata; Aves; Anseriformes; Anatidae.